This is a non-coding RNA of Pelodiscus sinensis (Chinese soft-shelled turtle), 598 nucleotides long. NCBI's taxonomy places the organism in Eukaryota, Metazoa, Chordata, Testudines, Trionychidae. The record is from RefSeq and is a predicted model, not a curated record.
UGAUGGAGCGAAGCAGCCCCGCACUGAACUCGCAGGGCUCAGCCAGGGAUACCUGGCUGCAGAGACCCUGCCCCCGCAGCACUACCAAGCAUGCCCAGGCUGCAGCUCAGCUAUAAAAGCCAGAGAGGAGGUUGAGUCUGGGCUGGUAGCUGGAGGAGAAAGACCUAGAAAGGAAGCUCCUGCCCAGCAUCCACCAGCGACUCCAGGAGAAGCCAGUGGGAGCACCGGGGCCAGUUGGGAUGUUGCUGGGGUCAUCCACAGAGGAGAAGUCGCCCCAGUGAAUGCGGAGGACCCUGCCAGUACGUAGGAAGCGGCCCCGUCGGACCAGAUCUGUCCAUUGACCUGUGUGUCCAUGCAACACCUCUUUCACGUUCCUUCUGUAAGGACUUGGCUGUGUGGAUCAGAUUGCAGAGGGGAGAUUUUGAAAAGCUCAAGCGUCUGUUUUAUAUCUGCCCUAAAGAAAGAAGCCAACAAGAUCUCAGAUGGAUACAAACAUAUAUCUGAAGAAGAGCAGAACAUUUCAGUGUUUACCUAAUAAAACACAGCUCCAACUUUGCUCCAGUUCUGUAGUCUGCCAAGAGUAAGUAAAAGACAAGAA